GGCCCAGACUCCUACGGGAGGCAGCAGUGGGAAUAUUGCACAAUGGCGAAAGCCUGAUGCAGCAACGCCGCGUGAGGGAUGACGGCCUUCGGGUUGUAAACCUCUUUUAGUAGGGAAGAAGCGAAAGUGACGGUACCUGCAGAAAAAGCACCGGCUAACUACGUGCCAGCAGCCGCGGUAAUACGUAGGGUGCAAGCGUUGUCCGGAAUUAUUGGGCGUAAAGAGCUCGUAGGCGGUUUGUCGCGUCUGCUGUGAAAUCUGGGGGCUCAACCCCCAGCCUGCAGUGGGUACGGGCAGACUAGAGUGCGGUAGGGGAGAUUGGAAUUCCUGGUGUAGCGGUGGAAUGCGCAGAUAUCAGGAGGAACACCGAUGGCGAAGGCAGAUCUCUGGGCCGUAACUGACGCUGAGGAGCGAAAGCAUGGGGAGCGAACAGGAUUAGAUACCCUGGUAGUCCAUGCCGUAAACGUUGGGAACUAGAUGUGGGGGCCAUUCCACGGUCUCCGUGUCGCAGCUAACGCAUUAAGUUCCCCGCCUGGGGAGUACGGCCGCAAGGCUAAAACUCAAAGGAAUUGACGGGGGCCCGCACAAGCGGCGGAGCAUGCGGAUUAAUUCGAUGCAACGCGAAGAACCUUACCAAGGCUUGACAUAUACCGGAAACGUCCAGAGAUGGUCGCCCCGCAAGGUCGGUAUACAGGUGGUGCAUGGUUGUCGUCAGCUCGUGUCGUGAGAUGUUGGGUUAAGUCCCGCAACGAGCGCAACCCUCGUUCUAUGUUGCCAGCACGUUAUGGUGGGAACUCAUAGGAGACUGCCGGGGUCAACUCGGAGGAAGGUGGGGAUGACGUCAAAUCAUCAUGCCCCUUAUGUCUUGGGCUUCACGCAUGCUACAAUGGCCGGUACAAAGGGCUGCGAUACCGUAAGGUGGAGCGAAUCCCAAAAAGCCGGUCUCAGUUCGGAUUGAGGUCUGCAACUCGACCUCAUGAAGUCGGAGUCGCUAGUAAUCGCAGAUCAGCAACGCUGCGGUGAAUACGUUCCCGGGCCUUGUACACACCGCCCGUCAAGUCAUGAAAGUCGGUAACACCCGAAGCCAGUGGCCUAACCCUUGUGGAUGGAGC
This 1112-nucleotide ribosomal RNA is filed under the name Frigoribacterium faeni. RNAcentral describes it as "bacterial SSU rRNA". It matches the Rfam family "Bacterial small subunit ribosomal RNA", at positions 328 to 1453 of the family's 1533-position model. The record is from RNAcentral. Lineage: Bacteria; Bacillati; Actinomycetota; Actinomycetes; Micrococcales; Microbacteriaceae.